Molecule: ribosomal RNA, 588 nt
Filed under: Restingomyces yaaxtax
Lineage: Eukaryota; Fungi; Basidiomycota; Agaricomycetes; Hysterangiales
Description: partial large subunit ribosomal RNA
Source: RNAcentral
CGGGAUGAGCUCAAAUUUGUAAUCUGGCGGUCUUUCGGCCGUCCGAGUUGUAGUCUGGAGAAGUGUCUUCUGUGCCGGACCGUGUACAAGUCCCUUGGAACGGGGCGUCGUAGAGGGUGAGAAUCCCGUCUUUGACACGGACUGCCUGGUGCUAUGUGAUGCGCUCUCGAARAGUCGAGUUGUUUGGGAAUGCAGCUCAAAUCGGGUGGUAAAUUCCAUCUAAAGCUAAACAUUGGCGAAAGACCGAUWGCGAACAAGUACCGUGAGGGAAAGAUGAAAAGCACUUUGGAAAGAGAGUCAAACAGUACGUGAAAUUGUUGAAAGGGAAACGCUUGAAGUCAGUCGCGUCUGCCGGGACUCAGUCGGGUUUUUUUUUCUACCCSAUGCAUUUUCCGGUGUCGGACGGGCCAGCAUCGAUUUUGACCGUCGRAAAAAGGUCUCGGGAAUGUGGCACCUUUCGGGGUGUGUUAUUARCCCGAGGUCGUAUGCGACGGUCGARAUCGAGGAUCGCARCAUGCCCUCCCUCCCGAGGGGGGGCCGGGGUUUCGCCCAUGUAACAUGCUUGGGAUGCUGGCGUAAUGGCUUUAA